RNAcentral lists this unclassified non-coding RNA (378 nucleotides) under plant metagenome. RNAcentral describes it as "partial contains 5.8S ribosomal RNA, internal transcribed spacer 2, and large subunit ribosomal RNA". The stretch from base 1 to 105 matches the Rfam family "5.8S ribosomal RNA", at positions 50 to 154 of the family's 154-position model. The record is from RNAcentral.
GAAAUGCGAUAAGUAAUGUGAAUUGCAGAAUUCAGUGAAUCAUCGAAUCUUUGAACGCACCUUGCGCUCCUUGGUAUUCCUUGGAGCAUGCCUGUUUGAGUAUCAUGAAAUCUUCAAAGUAAAUCUUUUGUUAACUCAAUUGGUUUCUACUUUGGUAUUGGAGGUCUUUGCAGCUUCACACCUGCUCCUCUUUGUUCAUUAGCUGGAUCUCAGUGUUAUGCUUGGUUCCACUCGGCGUGAUAAGUUAUCUAUCGCUGAGGACACUGUAAAAGGUGGCCAAGGUAAAUGCAGAUGAACCGCUUCUAAUAGUCCAUUGACUUGGACAAUACUUUUAUGAUCUGAUCUCAAAUCAGGUAGAAAUACCCGCUGAACUUAAGC